GACGAACGCUGGCGGCGUGCUUAACACAUGCAAGUCGAACGAUGAAGAAAAGAAUCGAAGCUUCGGCAGAAAUUCAUUUCGGAUUAGUGGCAGACGGGUGAGUAACGUGUGAGCAACCUACCUCUUACAAAGGGAUAGCCUCGGGAAACCGGGAUUAAUACCAUAUAACAUUGCGACGAAGCAUUUCGAUGCAAUCAAAGCUACGGCGGUAAGAGAUGGGCUCGCGUCCCAUUAACCGGAUGGUGAGGUAACGGCUCACCAUAGUGACGAUGGGUAACCGGCCUGAGAGGGUGAACGGUCACACUGGAACUGAGACACGGUCCAGACUCCUACGGGAGGCAGCAGUGGGGAAUAUUGCACAAUGGAGGGAACUCUGAUGCAGCGACGCCGCGUGAGUGAUGAAGGAAUUCGUUUCGUAAAACUCUGUUCUAUGGGAAGAAAAGGACUGUACCAUAGGAGAAAGCUCCGGCUAAAUACGUG
Molecule: ribosomal RNA, 480 nt
Filed under: uncultured bacterium
Lineage: Bacteria
Description: partial 16S ribosomal RNA
Rfam family: Bacterial small subunit ribosomal RNA
Source: RNAcentral